CCUCAGGUUGUCCGAGUUGUAAUCUAUAGAAACGUUUUCCGCGCUGGCCCAUGUACAAGUCCCUUGGAAUAGGGCGUCAUAGAGGGUGAGAAUCCCGUCCUUGACACGGACCACCAGUGCUUUGUGAUACGUUUUCAACGAGUCGAGUUGUUUGGGAAUGCAGCUCAAAAUGGGUGGUAAAUUCCAUCUAAAGCUAAAUAUUGGCGAGAGACCGAUAGCGAACAAGUACCGUGAGGGAAAGAUGAAAAGCACUUUGGAAAGAGAGUUAAACAGUAUGUGAAAUUGUUGAAAGGGAAACGAUUGAAGUCAGUCGUGUCUAUUGGACUCAGCCGGUUCUGCCGGUGUACUUCCUUUAGAUGGGGUCAACAUCAGUUUUGAUCGCUGGAAAAGGGCGGGAGGAAUGUAGCACUCUCGGGUGAACUUAUAGCCUUCCGUCGUAUACAGUGGUUGGGACUGAGGAACGCAGCAUGCCUUUAUGGCCGGGGUUCGCCCACGUACAUGCUUAGGAUGUUGACAUAAUGGCUUUAAACG
This 531-nucleotide ribosomal RNA is filed under the name Solicoccozyma aeria. RNAcentral describes it as "partial large subunit ribosomal RNA". It matches the Rfam family "Eukaryotic large subunit ribosomal RNA", at positions 127 to 646 of the family's 3401-position model. Lineage: Eukaryota; Fungi; Basidiomycota; Tremellomycetes; Filobasidiales; Piskurozymaceae. The record is from RNAcentral.